RNAcentral lists this long non-coding RNA (249 nucleotides) under Elaeis guineensis (African oil palm). Its description in RNAcentral is "long non-coding RNA (EGUI_LNC052839)". Lineage: Eukaryota; Viridiplantae; Streptophyta; Magnoliopsida; Arecales; Arecaceae. The record is from RNAcentral.
GUACUCAAGAUUUAGGGAUUUUUUUGAAAAAAUAUCUUCUUCCCUUUCUCCUCAAUAUCUUGGUGGAGAUGAUGGGUGACGAUAGUGGCACACUGAAGAGGGUAGAGGAGAAGGAGGAAGAGGAGGCCAGUAUCAAGAUCACAAGCAAGAUUCGAGGAGGAAGAAAAAGAUGACAACGUCGAGGUCACAAGUGAGAUUCGAAUAAGGGGGAAGAGAGUAGGUUGGAGUCGCAAGUAAGAUUGGAGGAGA